RNAcentral lists this ribosomal RNA (495 nucleotides) under uncultured bacterium. RNAcentral describes it as "partial 16S ribosomal RNA". It matches the Rfam family "Bacterial small subunit ribosomal RNA", at positions 28 to 507 of the family's 1533-position model. The record is from RNAcentral.
GAUGAACGCUGGCGGCGUGCCUAAUACAUGCAAGUAGAACGCUGAAGGAGGAGCUUGCUCUUCUGGAUGAGUUGCGAACGGGUGAGUAACGCGUAGGUAACCUGCCUGGUAGCGGGGGAUAACUAUUGGAAACGAUAGCUAAUACCGCAUGACAACAGUUAUUGCAUGAUAACUGUUUAAAAGGGGCAACUGCUCCACUACCAGAUGGACCUGCGUUGUAUUAGCUAGUUGGUGAGGUAACGGCUCACCAAGGCGACGAUACAUAGCCGACCUGAGAGGGUGAUCGGCCACACUGGGACUGAGACACGGCCCAGACUCCUACGGGAGGCAGCAGUAGGGAAUCUUCGGCAAUGGACGGAAGUCUGACCGAGCAACGCCGCGUGAGUGAAGAAGGUUUUCGGAUCGUAAAGCUCUGUUGUAAGAGAAGAACGAGUGUGAGAGUGGAAAGUUCACACUGUGACGGUAUCUUACCAGGAAGGGACGGCUAACUACGUG